Molecule: ribosomal RNA, 373 nt
Filed under: uncultured organism
Description: partial 16S ribosomal RNA
Rfam family: Bacterial small subunit ribosomal RNA
Source: RNAcentral
GGAGGGUGCAAGCGUUAAUCGGGAAUUACUGGGGCGUAAAGGGCGCGUAGGUUGCUAGUUUAGUCAGAUGUGAAAUAUCCGGGGCUUAACCUGGGACAUGCCAUCUGAAACUGGCUAGCUAGAGUACAGUAGAGGGAAGUGGAAUUUCCGGUGUAGCGGUGAAAUGCGUAGAUAUCGGAAGGAACAUCAGUGGCGAAGGCGACUUCCUGGACUGAUACUGACACUGAGGCGCGAAAGCGUGGGUAGCGAACAGGAUUAGAUACCCUGGUAGUCCACGCCGUAAACGAUGAGAACUAGCUGUAGGGCACGACAGUGCUUUGUAGCGUAGCUAACGCGCUAAGUUCUCCGCCUGGGGAGUACGGCCGCAAGGUUA